Long non-coding RNA from Ictalurus punctatus (channel catfish), 395 nucleotides. Lineage: Eukaryota; Metazoa; Chordata; Actinopteri; Siluriformes; Ictaluridae. The record is from Ensembl.
AGAGAGAUAUACAGAGAGAGAUAUACAGAGAGAGAUAUACAGAGAGAUAUACAGAGAGAUACAUACAGAGAGAGAGAUGUACAGAGAGAUAUACAGAGAGAGAUGUACAGAGAGAGAUAUACAGAGAGAGAUAUACAGAGAGAGAUGUACAGAGAGAUGUACAGAGAGAUGUACAGAGAGAGAUACAGAGAGAGAUGUACAGAGAGAGAGAUACAGAGAGAGAUGUACAGAGAGAGAUACAGAGAGAGAUACAGAGAGAGAGAUACAGAGAGAGAUGUACAGAGAGAUGUACAGAGAGAGAUACAGAGAGAGAUACAUACAGAGAGAGAGAUGUACAGAGAGAUAUACAGAGAGAGAUACAGAGAGAGAGAGAGAGAGAGAGAGAGAGAGAGAGA